RNAcentral lists this ribosomal RNA (497 nucleotides) under uncultured bacterium. RNAcentral describes it as "partial 16S ribosomal RNA". It matches the Rfam family "Bacterial small subunit ribosomal RNA", at positions 28 to 507 of the family's 1533-position model. The record is from RNAcentral.
GACGAACGCUGGCGGCGUGCCUAAUACAUGCAAGUUGAGCGAUGAAGAUUGGUGCUUGCACCAAUUUGAAGAGCAGCGAACGGGUGAGUAACGCGUGGGGAAUCUGCCUUUGAGCGGGGGACAACAUUUGGAAACGAAUGCUAAUACCGCAUAACAACUUUAAACAUAAGUUUUAAGUUUGAAAGAUGCAAUUGCAUCACUCAAAGAUGAUCCCGCGUUGUAUUAGCUAGUUGGUGAGGUAAAGGCUCACCAAGGCGAUGAUACAUAGCCGACCUGAGAGGGUGGUCGGCCACAUUGGGACUGAGACACGGCCCAAACUCCUACGGGAGGCAGCAGUAGGGAAUCUUCGGCGAUGGACGAAAGUCUGACCGAGCAACGCCGCGUGAGUGAAGAAGGGUUUCGGAUCGUAAAACUCGGUUGGUAGAGAAGAACGUUGGUGAGAGUGGAAAGCUCAUCAAGUGACGGUAACUACCCAGAAAGGGACGGCUAACUACGUG